UUGAACGCUGGCGGCAUGCCUAACACAUGCAAGUCGAACGGGUUGUAGCAAUACAACUAGUGGCGGACGGGUGAGGAAUACAUAGGAAUUUGCCUUUAGGUGGGGGAUAGUCCGGGGAAACUCGGUUUAAUACCGCAUGAUGUCGCAAGACCAAAGCAGGGGAUCGCAAGACCUUGCGCCUUUAGAGAAGCCUAUGUCGGAUUAGCUAGUUGGUAGGGUAACGGCCUACCAAGGCGACGAUCCGUAACUGGUCUGAGAGGACGAUCAGUCACACCGGAACUGAGACACGGUCCGGACUCCUACGGGAGGCAGCAGUGGGGAAUAUUGGACAAUGGGCGAAAGCCUGAUCCAGCAAUGCCGCGUGUGUGAAGAAGGCCUUCGGGUUGUAAAGCACUUUAGGCUGGGAGAAAAAUUUCACCUAAUACGUGAAGUCUUGACGGUACCAGUGGAAU
RNAcentral lists this ribosomal RNA (452 nucleotides) under uncultured bacterium. RNAcentral's name for it is "bacterial SSU rRNA". It matches the Rfam family "Bacterial small subunit ribosomal RNA", at positions 30 to 487 of the family's 1533-position model. The record is from RNAcentral.